AAUCGAUGGGGGGACGCAGUAGGAUAGGCGAAGCGUGCGAUUGGAUUGCACGUCUAAGCAGUAAGGCUGAGUAUUAGGCAAAUCCGGUACUCGUUAAGGCUGAGCUGUGAUGGGGAGAAGACAUUGAGUCUUCGAGUCGUUGAUUUCACACUGCCGAGAAAAGCCUCUAGAUAGAAAAUAGGUGCCCGUACCGCAAACCGACACAGGUAGUCAAGAUGAGAAUUCUAAGGUGAGCGAGCGAACUCUCGUUAAGGAACUCGGCAAAAUGACCCCGUAACUUCGGGAGAAGGGGUGCUCUUUAGGGUUAACGCCCAGAAGAGCCGCAGUGAAUAGGCCCAAGCGACUGUUUAUCAAAAACACAGGUCUCUGCUAAACCGUAAGGUGAUGUAUAGGGGCUGACGCCUGCCCGGUGCUGGAAGGUUAAGAGGAGUGGUUAGCUUCUGCGAAGCUACGAAUCGAAGCCCCAGUAAACGGCGGCCGUAACUAUAACGGUCCUAAGGUAGCGAAAUUCCUUGUCGGGUAAGUUCCGACCCGCACGAAAGGCGUAACGAUUUGGGCACUGUCUCAACGAGAGACUCGGUGAAAUCAUAGUACCUGUGAAGAUGCAGGUUACCCGCGACAGGACGGAAAGACCCCGUGGAGCUUUACUGUAGCCUGAUAUUGAAAUUCGGCACAGCUUGUACAGGAUAGGUAGGAGCCUUUGAAACGUGAGCGCUAGCUUACGUGGAGGCGCUGGUGGGAUACUACCCUAGCUGUGUUGGCUUUCUAACCCGCACCACUUAUCGUGGUGGGAGACAGUGUCAGGCGGGCAGUUUGACUGGGGCGGUCGCCUCCUAAAAGGUAACGGAGGCGCUCAAAGGUUCCCUCAGAAUGGUUGGAAAUCAUUCAUAGAGUGUAAAGGCAUAAGGGAGCUUGACUGCGAGACCUACAAGUCGAGCAGGGUCGAAAGACGGACUUAGUGAUCCGGUGGUUCCGCAUGGAAGGGCCAUCGCUCAACGGAUAAAAGCUACCCCGGGGAUAACAGGCUUAUCUCCCCCAAGAGUUCACAUCGACGGGGAGGUUUGGCACCUCGAUGUCGGCUCAUCGCAUCCUGGGGCUGUAGUCGGUCCCAAGGGUUGGGCUGUUCGCCCAUUAAAGCGGUACGCGAGCUGGGUUCAGAACGUCGUGAGACAGUUCGGUCCCUAUCCGUCGUGGGCGUAGGAAAUUUGAGAGGAGCUGUCCUUAGUACGAGAGGACCGGGAUGGACAUACCUCUGGUGUACCAGUUGUCGUGCCAACGGCAUAGCUGGGUAGCUAUGUGUGGACGGGAUAAGUGCUGAAAGCAUCUAAGCAUGAAGCCCCCCUCAAGAUGAGAUUUCCCAACUUCGGUUAUAAGAUCCCUCAAAGAUGAUGAGGUUAAUAGGUUCGAGGUGGAAGCAUGGUGACAUGUGGAGCUGACGAAUACUAAUCGAUCGAAGACUUAAUCAA
Molecule: ribosomal RNA, 1466 nt
Filed under: Staphylococcus aureus
Lineage: Bacteria; Bacillati; Bacillota; Bacilli; Caryophanales; Staphylococcaceae
Description: bacterial LSU rRNA
Rfam family: Bacterial large subunit ribosomal RNA
Source: RNAcentral